CAGACCAUGGCCCAUUGCAGUGUGGAUCCUGAUGAGAAGUCUCUCACUAUCAAGUCCAAGAAGGCCUCUUACACAGGGUGGGCAGCUAACCCCUGUGUAUGGGUUCACAUAGCUCUGGUUGCUUUCAGGGGUCAGAAACUGUAGCCCUUUCAUAAGUUCAGGGUAUUCAAUCAACUCAUUCCUGGGAGACCCACUCAAGGACUACACUUUGAGGUCACCCAGGCCCCCAGCCAUGGGUUAUCUUUUGGGACAAAGAGAUUAAAAGACAAUUUAAUUAAUAUUCAGACAGAAUAAUCAGGGAAACUUUCCUGUUUACUACUUUAUUUCCAUAGCUGAAUGUGAAAUGGAGACAAAGUUAUGCAAAGUCAGGUUUGGGAUAUAUGUGAGCAUACUGGGAUUAAUAAGGAAGGGGAAAAAGUAACUCAGUGGGCAUCAGAAAAUGUCUGAGCUCUGACUUUGUUUCCUGACCUUGAAUGUCCCCUUAGGCCUUCAAGGUUAUGUGUUAUGUGGUGGAUGAGAUCUUCCUGUCCAGGCAAUCCCAGGAGCUGCUGACCUCUACUGAUUUUCUACAUAUUCCUAGCAUCACUGGUGUCAACAAUGAUGAGUAUGGCUGGAUCUUCCACAUGGCAAGGCCCAGUUCCAAGUCCUUAAAAUCCUGAAGAUCUCAUUGUGUGUGUGUGUGUGUGUGUGUUGUGUGUAUGUGUGUGUGUAAGUAUAGCUCAGGAUUUCAAGGCUUACUACCCCAAAUUUAAGACUUUCCUUCCACCUCCCAGCUCAUAGGUACUGAUGAUACCCAGAUGGAAACAGAGCUCAGAGUACUUCAACACUGAUGGUGAGGUUCCUGGGGUCCUGCCCCAAUGGGGAGAACACCUCUACAUUCCUGCUUAUGUAGGAACCCCAGGAACAAAGGCUAAACUAUGUACAUAUUUUUGGAUAAAGUCUUCCCAGAGUUUGGCCCUCUCCUCCAUUCUCAGUCCCAUGGCAAGCCCCAUCUCUGGACCCUGAGGCUGCUGACUCACUGUCCUUGAGCCUGCCUAACCUAACACUCCCUGAUCUCCUGCCAAAUGCAAUGACCUGUUGAUGGAGGAGACAAUGAAGACCUUCACACCCUCCAAGUCCAAUUACAGAAGAUAAUGGACUUCUUGUUCAUGAUCUCUGAACACCAAAUAGUACAUUAUCAUUGUGAGUAUAUCUGUACCUAAAUCCUGGCUGCCUAGGGGGCAGUUCAGAGCUGUGAGUCUCAUAAGAGUUCUGGUAUCCAGGUCCUGAAACAAGUCUUUAUCAGGUUCCUGGUCCCAAGCACCUGAUGAUCCUCAUCUCAAUAAAUCCUCAUGGCUAGUGUAAGAAGCAACCAUUUCCUUUACUUUACAGGUGAUAAAACUGAGUUAUUAACACUUAGUGACUUUCCCAAGACCACACAGCUAGAAGUCCAAGACCUGAUUUAACCAAGGUCCUUCCUGCUGCCUCUGCUCCAGCCUGGGACUCCCCAUUCCACUGUCCAGAUUCAAGCCAGCUUUGGACCUACGUAUCUUAUUGCCAAGGGUACGGCAGGAGAGGGGUACGGCAGGAGAGGGCCACCACAUGAGAUGAGGAGCCACCCACACAUAUCCUGUCAACCCCCCAGUUCCCAUCCUCUACUUCUUUGAGUUCCAGCAUUAGUUCAGUUUCUUCAAGGAUAUAAAGCCACCUCACACGAAGGCCAACCAUGGCAAAGAAAUUAUCGUUGUCUUUGGAUCCUACAUCAAGGGCAGCAGAGGUGUCUUCUUUAUUUCCUAGGAGCCAGGAUGGCAUUCUAGUGGGCAGGAGUAGCAAUUUAUCCCAUUGUACAGAUGAGGAAAUUGUGGCUUAGAGAGAGGAUGGGAUCUGGUGUCUACCAUCUUACAACUCUAAAGUUCAUAACAGAGUUAGAAUCUAAGCCCUUUACCACUUCAAUCUGUUUUCCUUCCAUUUGUUCCCACCCUAACCAUGGUGGUUAGAGUCAUAAUUGUUUCUUUUUUUUUCAAAAAAGGCAUAGUAAUGCUUUCUUAAAUGACUUCCCAGUUUUAGAAGGAAUAAGGAGGCUUCUGAGCCAAAGACAAAUUCAGGGUAGAUUCAGUUAGAAGCUGAGAUGAGUAAGGGCAGGUUGGGCAAGCAGAGGGCCUGGCUCCAGGACUGUUGGGGUAGGGAAGGGACACAGGCCUGGGGUCCAGGGACAGGCUACAGCUAGGGUGCUGAGUGUGGCACAGGAGUGGACAGCUGGAUGGGCUUCGCCAGACCUGGAUCCUUGAUUUCUUCUUCCCCAUAGUUGAGAGUUGAGCUCACUGAGGAGGAGGAGCUGCUGAGUAGGAGGAUGAUGAGGUACUGGGCCAAAAUUACUGGAAAUGAGUGAAAGAAUGCACCACCCAUCUUAGCCUCCUUCGAGACUUGUACUCAUCCAGCGUUCCCUUUGUUUGAGGUGACUUCAUUAACACACAUGUCCUUAAUCACAACGUAGCCCCCUCGCUUCAACCCAAAGACCCACUCUAACAGAGGGCAUCUUGUGUGUGCCAUUACCUGGUCCCUUUCCAAUGACCAGGAGGGUGGGCCCUAAUGCAGAGCUUCCAUCAGAAGCCCUGACAGGGAAGGACAAAACAGGCCAGGCUCUGUCCCAUGUGGAAAGUCUACAAGUAGAAAGUCAUUGCUCUCCUAAAUUAGGAAACCUAUCCUCAUUGCCCAUGCUUCCUGCCUGUCUGGAUGCCUGGCAUGACUAAAAUCAGGGGCUCAGGGCCCUGAAGGCCCACAGGUUGAAGUUCUGGACCAAGACUCUGCCCCAGAAGAUCCAGGAACUUAAGGGGGCUGACAACAAGCCCAGAGCUGUAGCUCCAUGUCAGGGAGGGCUGGGUGGGUGGAGUGCAGGUGAGGUCUGCCUGUGGUACCCACACACGCCCACCUAGGAGCCAGUGUUGACCCCCUCAUUUCAUGUAGCCAUUCAUUCAUCCAUUGAGCCAACACCUACAAAUAACUUACCUCACAAUGUUCAUUGCCCAGGCUGCUGUGGGUCCUCUCUCGUUAGACACACUCAGUCAAUCCCCCCAGGAAGCUGUGGAUGGGUAAGCCAGUGGAUGCCCACCUUCUUGCACACCCCACUGGUCCUGUGUCCCUUCCCAGCUUUUUUAUCUCUCCUUCCCUGAACCCUCUUUCUCCUCUCCUCCCAACUCUCGUACCCUCCCCACUUCAAGAGAGGUGCUAGGGGAAUGUUGCCCUCUCCUAGAUAACAAAAGCCCAGUUUCAUUUCUCAGCAUGUCUCCCAUGUUUUCUUACAUGGAAGAGGCCAAUACAAUACCUUUACUCCAAAUGUGCCAGUAUCUUAAUUUAUUCGGGCUGAUGUUAUGAAAGUAUAAUUUGGGUAUCUUAUAUACAACAAAAGCUUAUUGUUCACAGUUCUGGAGGCUGGGAAGUCUAAGAUCAAGGUGCCAGAUAACUUGGUAUCUGAUGAUGACGGCCCUUGAAUGGCACCUUUUCACUGUGUCCUCAAGUGACAGAAGAAACAAACAAACUCUCACAGGCUUAAUUUAUAAUGGUGUUGUAGUAACCUAUCUCCUGUUGCUAUAA
This 3570-nucleotide long non-coding RNA is filed under the name Marmota monax (woodchuck). The record is from RNAcentral. Lineage: Eukaryota; Metazoa; Chordata; Mammalia; Rodentia; Sciuridae.